Molecule: ribosomal RNA, 433 nt
Filed under: uncultured bacterium
Lineage: Bacteria
Description: partial 16S ribosomal RNA
Rfam family: Bacterial small subunit ribosomal RNA
Source: RNAcentral
AACGAACGCUGGCGGCAUGCCUAACACAUGCAAGUCGAACGAGACCUUCGGGUCUAGUGGCGCACGGGUGCGUAACGCGUGGGAACCUGCCCUUAGGUUCGGAAUAACUCCCCGAAAGGGGUGCUAAUACCGGAUAAUGUCUUCGGACCAAAGAUUUAUCGCCUUUGGAUGGGCCCGCGUUGGAUUAGCUAGUUGGUAGGGUAAAAGCCUACCAAGGCGACGAUCCAUAGCUGGUCUGAGAGGAUGAUCAGCCACACUGGGACUGAGACACGGCCCAGACUCCUACGGGAGGCAGCAGUAGGGAAUAUUGGAAAAUGGGCGAAAGCCUGAUCCAGCAAUGCCGCGUGAGUGAUGAAGGCCUUAGGGUUGUAAAGCUCUUUUACCCGGGAUGAUAAUGACAGUACCGGGAGAAUAAGCUCCGGCUAACUCCGUG